Molecule: ribosomal RNA, 254 nt
Filed under: uncultured bacterium
Lineage: Bacteria
Description: partial 16S ribosomal RNA
Rfam family: Bacterial small subunit ribosomal RNA
Source: RNAcentral
UACGAAGGGGGCUAGCGUUGCUCGGAAUCACUGGGCGUAAAGGGUGCGUAGGCGGGUCUUUAAGUCAGGGGUGAAAUCCUGGAGCUCAACUCCAGAACUGCCUUCGAUACUGGCGAUCUUGGAGUCCAGGAGAGGUGAGUGGAACUCCGAGUGUAGAGGUGAAAUUCGUAGAUAUUCGGAAGAACACCAGUGGCGAAGGCGGCUCACUGGCCCGGUACUGACGCUGAGGUGCGAAAGCGUGGGGAGCAAACAGG